This 395-nucleotide ribosomal RNA is filed under the name uncultured bacterium. Its description in RNAcentral is "bacterial SSU rRNA". It matches the Rfam family "Bacterial small subunit ribosomal RNA", at positions 28 to 420 of the family's 1533-position model. The record is from RNAcentral.
GACGAACGCUGGCGGCGUGCCUAACACAUGCAAGUCGAGCGAAUGAAGUUCCUUCGGGGAUGGAUUUAGCGGCGGACGGUGAGUAACACGUGGGCAACCUGCCUCAUAGAGGGGAAUAGCCUUCCGAAAGGGAGAUUAAUACCGCAUAAGAUUGUAGUAUCGCAUGAUACAGCAAUUAAAGGAGCAAUCCGCUAUGAGAUGGGCCCGCGGCGCAUUAGCUAGUUGGUGAGGUAACGGCUCACCAAGGCGACGAUGCGUAGCCGACCUGAGAGGGUGAUCGGCCGACAUUGGGACUGAGACACGGCCCAGACUCCUACGGGAGGCAGCAGUGGGGAAUAUUGCACAAUGGGGGAAACCCUGAUGCAGCAACGCCGCGUGAGUGAUGACGGCCUCGG